This 501-nucleotide ribosomal RNA is filed under the name uncultured bacterium. RNAcentral describes it as "bacterial SSU rRNA". It matches the Rfam family "Bacterial small subunit ribosomal RNA", at positions 8 to 507 of the family's 1533-position model. The record is from RNAcentral.
AGAGUUUGAUCCUGGCUCAGAUUGAACGCUGGCGGCAUGCCUUACACAUGCAAGUCGAACGGUAACGGGCCUUCGGGUGCCGACGAGUGGCGAACGGGUGAGUAAUGUAUCGGAACGUACCUUUCAGUGGGGAUAACGUAGCGAAAGUUACGCUAAUACCGCAUAUUCUGUGAGCAGGAAAGCAGGGGAUCGCAAGACCUUGCGCUGAUUGAGCGGCCGAUAUCAGAUUAGCUAGUUGGUGAGGUAAAGGCUCACCAAGGCGACGAUCUGUAGCGGUCUGAGAGGAUGAUCCGCCACACUGGAACUGAGACACGGUCCAGACUCCUACGGGAGGCAGCAGGUGGGGAAUUUUGGACAAUGGGGGCAACCCUGAUCCAGCCAUGCCGCGUGAGUGAAGAAGGCCUUCGGGUUGUAAAGCUCUUUCGGCCGGGAAGAAAUCGUAUGGGUUAAUACCCUGUGCGGAUGACGGUACCGGCAUAAGAAGCACCGGCUAACUACGUG